GGACUUGCAGCCAACUAUAGGAGUAGUGAGCAGUCGAGUGGUACAUCUCAGUUUCAGGGCCCUACUGUCGAUCCAAAACGACUUGUGGAUGUGGAGUUGCAGUUGCAGGAUGCCUUAGCGGCGAUAGAACGUUAGAAAGAAGAGAUGAGACUGAAAGAUGAGCAGACCGAGGCUCGAUUUGAGGCUCAGCAGCGUAUGUUCGAGCAGAUAUUGGCUAGGCUUCCACCUGGACCGACUCCACCCUCUGAACCAUCAUCUUGACUAUUAUGUUUGUGUUUUUGUAUUUUGAAUACUUGAAUGUUUCUAUUAUGUUUUUGAACAGUUGGAUAUUUUAUGUUAUAUUAUGAAUAUUUGAAUGCUAGUUUAAAUUUUAAUAUUUUACAUAUUUGGUGUUUUGGAGAUUG
RNAcentral lists this long non-coding RNA (404 nucleotides) under Salvia miltiorrhiza (redroot sage). RNAcentral's name for it is "long non-coding RNA (SMIL_LNC012444)". Lineage: Eukaryota; Viridiplantae; Streptophyta; Magnoliopsida; Lamiales; Lamiaceae. The record is from RNAcentral.